Long non-coding RNA from Neopsephotus bourkii (Bourke's parrot), 862 nucleotides. RefSeq lists it as uncharacterized. The record is from RefSeq and is a predicted model, not a curated record. Lineage: Eukaryota; Metazoa; Chordata; Aves; Psittaciformes; Psittacidae. The transcript has 3 exons.
AUGACUAUUACAAAGUUUGAAAAAAAAAAAGUACAAGCCCAAAACCUGAAAUUCAUACACAGGAGGAUGUUUAAAUGUGAAAAGCACAAGGGAAAAGCAGGAGCUGAAGACUUUUUUCCUAAAGAAAAUGCCCAAACUACAAAUUCUGAGAGCAGGAGGUUCCAUCUCCCUACAGAUCAGACGCUCAGAGAAUGAACCUGCCUGUGUUUUUUACGUGGUGCCUGUGGUACAACUAAGAGUCAUUCAGCUAUUUUGUGCUAGUUGUAAGAACAGGUGUGAUGUAAAAAGAAAUAAAAUUAUGGAGGCAGAAACUGGCUUCAGGAGGACUGUCACUGUGUCACGUAGCUUCAUUGUGCAGAGUUGCUAUACGUGAAAGCCGCUUGUUUGCAAAGUAAUGGGGAGAAAUAUCUCCUCUCUUGCUUUGGUAGUGGAGAGCAUGCAGACUAGCAGACAAAGAAGUCAGCUGGUCACUUCAGCUUUGCAGAUCUGGUGAUCUCACCCUCUCCUCCCACUAUUACAGAGUAAAGAGCUGCUACAGUUUGACUGAUUGGUUUCAUUUUAUUGCCUCGUCUCCUGACAUAUGAGAGAAAAUAACAUCCAGUUCUUGGCCGCUUAAAUUAAUUUUGAAUUAUUGGACACAAGCCAGAUGAUGAUGACAGUGCUUGGGAUAUUCUUCUCCCUAUAGAAAAAAAGAAAACAGUGCUGGACAGUUACAUUAGAGCUUUUUAGCAAGGCAUUAAUAAAUCAUGGGAAGAUUUCUGAUACUGAUGAUUGCUCACAAGCGAUACUUUAGACCUCAGGUUCCCAAAAAAGAACCAGGUGCCUAAAACCAUAUAUUUCAAUGAUUUCUUUUGAAUCGAGA